This is a non-coding RNA of Camelina sativa (false flax), 243 nucleotides long. The record is from RefSeq and is a predicted model, not a curated record. Lineage: Eukaryota; Viridiplantae; Streptophyta; Magnoliopsida; Brassicales; Brassicaceae.
GAGUAUCUAGAAUCAGUUCAUGAACCUAAGAAUACUAUCCCACCAUAUGAUUCUAAUGUGUAAAUUUUCGCCUAUUAUACUAAAGAUAAAUAUGAGACUUGGUAUUCAUCUCUGCUGUUAUACUGCUCCAGGUAAAGGAAGCUGUCACUUCUCAUCAUCAUCAGGAACAGUCAGCACAAGCCCACCAAGUCAAAUGAGUCCACCAGAUUUUAAUUCCCCACCAUCAUCUACAUACCCACCCCC